CAAUAGCGUAUAUUAAAGUUGUUGCAGUUAAAAAGCUCGUAGUUGGACUUCUGGUUGAAGCGACCGGUCGGGCGUUGAUUCGUCUGCACUGGAGUCGGUUUUGGCCAUCCUCUAGGAAAGUGCGUCUGGUAUUAAGUUAUCGGGCAUAUGAUCCUGGUCUUUUACUGUGAAAAAAUUAGAGUGUUUAAAGCAGGCCUUCGCCUUGAAUACAUUAGCAUGGAAUAAUAAGAUAGGACUUUGGUCUAUUUUGUUGGUUUGCAGACCGAAGUAAUGAUUAAUAGGGAUAGUUGGGGGUAUUUAUAUUCCGAUGUCAGAGGUGAAAUUCUUAGAUUUUCGGAAGAUAAACUUAUGCGAAAGCAUUUACCAAGGAUGUUUUCAUUAA
RNAcentral lists this ribosomal RNA (382 nucleotides) under uncultured eukaryote. RNAcentral describes it as "partial 18S ribosomal RNA". It matches the Rfam family "Eukaryotic small subunit ribosomal RNA", at positions 592 to 976 of the family's 1831-position model. The record is from RNAcentral.